RNAcentral lists this ribosomal RNA (465 nucleotides) under uncultured bacterium. RNAcentral describes it as "partial 16S ribosomal RNA". It matches the Rfam family "Bacterial small subunit ribosomal RNA", at positions 28 to 507 of the family's 1533-position model. The record is from RNAcentral.
GACGAACGCUGGCGGCGUGCUUAACACAUGCAAGUCGAACGGAAAGGCCCUGCUUGCAGGGUACUCGAGUGGCGAACGGGUGAGUAACACGUGGGUGAUCUGCCCUGCACUUCGGGAUAAGCCUGGGAAACUGGGUCUAAUACCGGAUAGGAGCCAUUUUUAGUGUGAUGGUUGGAAAGUUUUUUCGGUGUAGGAUGAGCUCGCGGCCUAUCAGCUUGUUGGUGGGGUAAUGGCCUACCAAGGCGGCGACGGGUAGCCGGCCUGAGAGGGUGGACGGCCACAUUGGGACUGAGAGACGGCCCAGACGCCUACGGGAGGCAGCAGUGGGGAAGAUUGCACAAUGGGCGCAAGCCUGAUGCAGCGACGCCGCGUGGGGGAUGACGGCCUUCGGGUUGUAAACUCCUUUCGCUAGGGACGAAGCUUUUUGUGACGGUACCUAGAGAAGAAGCACCGGCUAACUACGUG